Cynoglossus semilaevis (tongue sole) is the source of this 220-nucleotide long non-coding RNA. RefSeq lists it as uncharacterized. NCBI's taxonomy places the organism in Eukaryota, Metazoa, Chordata, Actinopteri, Pleuronectiformes, Cynoglossidae. The transcript is spliced from 3 exons. The record is from RefSeq and is a predicted model, not a curated record.
UUUGAAACCCAUGAAACACCCAAAACGGAACUGACCUUGAUCUAUUGGGCUCCUGAUGAAGCAAGUAUCCAUGAUAAAAUUCUAUACUCGAGCUCCAAGCAGUACUUAAAAAAUGCAAUGAACGGUAUCAAACAUGACCUGGAGUUCCAGUCGCUUGCAGAUAUUGCAGACAGAAAAUGUUUUACAGAGAAGUUUGGAAAGCAGAUAGUCACACUUGAGG